RNAcentral lists this ribosomal RNA (482 nucleotides) under uncultured bacterium. Its description in RNAcentral is "partial 16S ribosomal RNA". It matches the Rfam family "Bacterial small subunit ribosomal RNA", at positions 29 to 523 of the family's 1533-position model. The record is from RNAcentral.
AAUGAACGUUGGCGGCGUGGAUUAGGCAUGCAAGUCGUGCGCGAAUCGUAGCAAUACGAGGAGAGCGGCGAAAGGGAGAGGAUAGCAUAGAUACCUACCCUCGGACCUGGGAUAGCUAUGGGAAACUAUAGGUAAUACCAGAUAACGUCUCCGGACCAAAGGUGUGAUUCCGUCCGGGGAGGGGUCUAUGUCCUAUUAGCUUGUUGGUGAGGUAACGGCUCACCAAGGCAAAGAUGGGUACGAGGCGUGAGAGCGUGUCCUCGCUCACUGGGGCUGAGACCCUGCCCAGACACCUACGGGUGGCUGCAGUCGAGAAUCUUCGGCAAUGGGCGCAAGCCUGACCGAGCGACGCCGCGUGUGGGAUGAAGGCCUUCGGGUUGUAAACCACUGUCAGUGCGGAGGAAAUAUAGGGGGGUACUCCCCUCUAUUUGACCUAUGCGCAGAGGAAGGACGGGCUAAGUUCGUGCCAGCAGCCGCCGUAA